Molecule: unclassified non-coding RNA, 2147 nt
Filed under: Portunus trituberculatus (swimming crab)
Lineage: Eukaryota; Metazoa; Arthropoda; Malacostraca; Decapoda; Portunidae
Description: longitudinals lacking protein, isoforms A/B/D/L-like, transcript variant X13
Source: RNAcentral
CACGUUUAGAACGAGAUGGCGGGACGCGUGGGUCUUGAUGCGCAUGCGCGGUCCAACAUGGCGACGUGAAGGGCGGACCCACCAAGCCUCGCUCCCAAAAAGCUGAUUUAUCCUCCUAUCGUCGAGCGAGAUGGAGGACGGACUUCUUUCCUUGAAGUGGAACAACCACAGAUCCACUUUUUUCCACAUUCUUAGUGAAGUGCGGGGUAAACAGACGUACACGGAUGCGACGCUGGCGUGCGAGGGGAAGUUCUUCCCCGUGCAUAAGCUGGUCAUGUCGACGUGCAGUGACUACUUUGCGGAGAUCUUUGAAAAGACGCCGUGUAAGAACCCUGUGGUAGUGCUCAAGGACAUCAAGAAGUCAGACUUAGAGGCCUUGUUAGACUAUAUGUACAUAGGCGAGGUGGACGUGCGGCAGAGCGAGCUGGCCGGCCUCAUCAAGGCGGCGGAGUGCCUGCGCAUCAAGGGUCUGGCCGUGCCGGACGAGGACCCCACCAAGGCCCACAAGAAGGCCCCCACCACUGUACCUGAGCGGCGGGAGGACAGCCCUCCGGCGAAGAGAAAAAGACGGGACUCGGGGGGCGACCGCGGGAGGGUCCCUUCGCCGCCCCUGCCCCGGGGAUCCUCCCAGUCUUCCUCCCACACUUCCACAACACCAGUGCCUAGUCAAGCACCCCCCCCCUCCUCCAGUGUACCUGAGUCACAUGUGCCAUCCCAGCCCAUGCCCCCGCCGCCCUCCCUGGGCCAGGAGGCGGGCCGGCCGCGCUCCGACGCCCCGCCCUCCUCUCACCUCCACCACCCGCCGCUGUCCUCGGUCCGGGGCGCCGCGGAGAGCCUGCGUUCUCCCCCCGGGGGGCCCGCGGACAGCCAUGGGGCGGGCACGUCGCCCCGCACUGUGGACCCGUCCAUCCUGCCGGUGCAGAUGAUCAAGGUGGAGGUGGACGAGGCGGGGGAGUCUGGCGGGGCGGGGAAGGAGGGGCACGACGGGGGGAGGGAGGAGGGGAGCGAGCUGGACGACAACGAGGAGGAGGGCAGCAAUGACUUCUCCGAGUACCAGGGACACCCGGGGGAGAUAGAGAAGGAGGAGCACGACCAGGUGGAGUCCUACACCACUGACCAGCUGCCGGGACCCUCAGGGCUGCAGGGGGCCCCCCCGGUGCUGUCGUGGGGUGAGGAGGGGGAGGGAGGCUUCCCCCACAACCUCUUCGGCAGCGAUGACGCGGCGGCAGCGCAACAAGCGCUGGGGGCGUUGGUUAGCGGCGUGGGCGGGGCGUAUAGCAGGCGUGGUCGCGGCGCCAAAGUUUGUGGGUACUGCGGGAAGGCGUUCGUUCGUUCAGACGUCCUCGUUCAACAUGUACGUACCCACACUGGCGAGAAGCCGUACCCGUGUCCCCACUGCCCCUACCGCGCCUCCCAGCGAACCCACCUACGACUACACCUCCGGAGACACGACCACUCGGGUACUACCACCACCACCACCACCACCACACAAGAAUCCUCACGCCAGGCCCUUCACCUCCUGCACCAUUCUGACCUAGCGAGCCGUGACGCGUUACUACAGCAGCACCAGCAGCAGCAGCACCAGCAGCGCCGCCAGGAGGGGACCAGUGCGGGGGGUGUGGAGCAGGUGGCCGGGGUGGUGCCAAUAACGUCUCAGAGUUUACAAGACACGAUACACCAUUAUGAUUUCAAGUGAGGUGUGUGUUGGGCUCAUUCUGUAACACUUCCGCGCCUCACACCACCUUCACUGUCUUCAAAGGCCUCCAGUUGAAGUGACACGGGUUUUCAAGGGUGUUUCUGUAAUUCUAGUGACACGUUAACAAGUUGUCUGCAUUACCAGCUGGAAAAAUACUCUACAAAUGGGGCUAAUCGUCUCUGUGGGCUUUGAAAAUGGACGUGGUUAGAGAGAGAAGCGUUUCUGAAUGUGGUGCUUGGUGUGGUGUGGUGUGGUGGUGUGGAUGAAGUGACGGUGAUAUCUGACGUGAGGACAGGUGUGUGGGGCGAGGACAGGUGUGGUUAAUGGAAGCGUUUGAAAAGGACAGGUGUGGAAAAUAUGGUUUAAUUGAUGAAUGGAAGACGUUGUGUGUGUGUGUGUGUGUGUGUGUGUGUGUGUGUGUGUGUGUGUGUGUGUGUGUGUGUGUGUGUGU